This 75-nucleotide transfer RNA is filed under the name Candidatus Wolfebacteria bacterium RIFOXYB1_FULL_54_12. Its description in RNAcentral is "tRNA-Cys". It matches the Rfam family "tRNA". From Rfam's summary of the family: Transfer RNA (tRNA) molecules are approximately 80 nucleotides in length. Their secondary structure includes four short double-helical elements and three loops (D, anti-codon, and T loops). Lineage: Bacteria; Candidatus Wolfeibacteriota. RNAcentral also lists the same sequence under 1 other name. The record is from RNAcentral.
GGCUCGGUGGCCAAGUGGUAAGGCGUGAGUCUGCAAAACUCUUAUACGUGGGUUCGAUUCCCACCCGAGCCUCAA